UACGUAGGGGGCAAGCGUUGUCCGGAAUCAUUGGGCGUAAAGAGCGCGUAGGCGGCCCUGUAAGUCCGCUGUGAAAGUCAAGGGCUCAACCCUUGGAUGCCGGUGGAUACUGGAUGGCUUGAAUCCGGGAGAGGGAUGCGGAAUUCCAGGUGUAGCGGUGAAAUGCGUAGAUAUCUGGAGGAACACCGGUGGCGAAGGCGGCAUCCUGGACCGGCAUUGACGCUGAGGAGCGAAAGCCAGGGGAGCAAACGGG
RNAcentral lists this ribosomal RNA (253 nucleotides) under uncultured bacterium. RNAcentral describes it as "partial 16S ribosomal RNA". It matches the Rfam family "Bacterial small subunit ribosomal RNA", at positions 524 to 776 of the family's 1533-position model. The record is from RNAcentral.